This 505-nucleotide ribosomal RNA is filed under the name uncultured Actinomycetes bacterium. RNAcentral's name for it is "bacterial SSU rRNA". It matches the Rfam family "Bacterial small subunit ribosomal RNA", at positions 381 to 896 of the family's 1533-position model. Lineage: Bacteria; Bacillati; Actinomycetota; Actinomycetes. The record is from RNAcentral.
ACCUGAUGCAGCGACGCCGCGUGAGGGAUGACGGCCUCGGGUUGUAAACCUCUUUCAGUAGGGAAGAAGCGAAAGUGACGGGUACCUGCAGAAGAAGCGACCGGCUAACUACGUGCCAGCAGCCGCGGUAAUACGUAGGGCGCAAGCGUUAUCCGGAAUUAUUGGGCGUAAAGAGCUCGCAGGCGGUUUGUCGCGUCUGCCGUGAAAGUCCGGGGCUCAACUCCGGAUCUGCGGUGGGUACGGGCAGACUAGAGUGAUGUAGGGGAGACUGGAAUUCCUGGUGUAGCGGUGAAAUGCGCAGAUAUCAGGAGGAACACCGAUGGCGAAGGCAGGUCUCUGGGCAUUAACUGACGCUGAGGAGCGAAAGCAUGGGGAGCGAACAGGAUUAGAUACCCUGGUAGUCCAUGCCGUAAACGUUGGGCACUAGGUGUGGGGACAUUCCACGUUUUCCGCGCCGUAGCUAACGCAUUAAGUGCCCCGCCUGGGGAGUACGGCCGCAAGGCUA